RNAcentral lists this small nuclear RNA (299 nucleotides) under Anolis carolinensis (green anole). RNAcentral describes it as "7SK RNA". It matches the Rfam family "7SK RNA". From Rfam's summary of the family: 7SK was discovered as an abundant small nuclear RNA in the mid-70s but a possible function has only recently been suggested. Lineage: Eukaryota; Metazoa; Chordata; Lepidosauria; Squamata; Anolidae. The record is from Rfam by way of RNAcentral.
GGAUGUGAGGGCUAUCUGGCUGUGACAUCUGUCACCCCAUUGAUUGCCAGGGUUGAUUCGACUGAUCUGGCUGGCUAGGCGGAUGUCCUCUUCCUCCCUCACUGUUCCAUAUGUGUCCCUCCUGAAGCUGCACGCUCGGUGGAAGAGGACGACAUCCCAUGUAUAGAAGGAAUGUACCGAGGUCUCCACUUCAAUCUCAAGUAUACGAUAGCUGCGCUCCCCUGCUAGAACCUCCAAACAAGCUCAAACAAACAAUAGAAUAGAAUAACUUUAUUGUCAUUGUACAUUAGACAAUGAAA